RNAcentral lists this ribosomal RNA (422 nucleotides) under uncultured Mucilaginibacter sp. Its description in RNAcentral is "bacterial SSU rRNA". It matches the Rfam family "Bacterial small subunit ribosomal RNA", at positions 355 to 774 of the family's 1533-position model. Lineage: Bacteria; Pseudomonadati; Bacteroidota; Sphingobacteriia; Sphingobacteriales; Sphingobacteriaceae. The record is from RNAcentral.
UAAGGAAUAUUGGUCAAUGGGCGGAAGCCUGAACCAGCCAUGCCGCGUGCAGGAAGACGGCCCUACGGGUUGUAAACUGCUUUUGUACCGGAAUAAACCACAGUUCGUGAAUUGUGCUGAAUGUACGGUAAGAAUAAGGAUCGGCUAACUCCGUGCCAGCAGCCGCGGUAAUACGGAGGAUCCAAGCGUUAUCCGGAUUUAUUGGGUUUAAAGGGUGCGUAGGCGGCCUGUUAAGUCAGGGGUGAAAGACGGUAGCUCAACUAUCGCAGUGCCCUUGAUACUGAUGGGCUUGAAUGUACUAGAGGUAGGCGGAAUGUGACAAGUAGCGGUGAAAUGCAUAGAUAUGUCACAGAACACCAAUUGCGAAGGCAGCUUACUAUGGUAUGAUUGACGCUGAGGCACGAAAGCGUGGGGAUCAAACA